This 407-nucleotide ribosomal RNA is filed under the name uncultured bacterium. RNAcentral's name for it is "partial 16S ribosomal RNA". It matches the Rfam family "Bacterial small subunit ribosomal RNA", at positions 29 to 526 of the family's 1533-position model. The record is from RNAcentral.
AUUGAACGCUGGCGGCAGGCCUAACACAUGCAAGUCGAGCGGAGCGGCGGACGGGUGAGUAAUGCCUAGGAAUCUGCCUGGUAGUGGGGGAUAACGUCCGGAAACGGGCGCUAAUACCGCAUACUAUCAGAUGAGCCUAGGUCGGAUUGGUUAGUAGGUGGGGUAAAGGUUAACCUAGGCGACGAUCCAUAGCUGGUCUGAGAGGAUGACCAGCCACACUGGAAAUGGGACACGGCCCAGCAUCCUACGGGAGGCAGCGGUGGGGAAUAUGGCACAAUGGGCGCAAGCCUGAUGCAGCCAUGCCGCGUGUGUGAAGAAGGCCUUCGGGUUGUAAAGCACUUUCAGCGGGGAGGCGUUACCCGCAGAAGAAGCACCGGCUAACUCCGUGCCAGCAGCCGCGGUAAUAC